RNAcentral lists this ribosomal RNA (482 nucleotides) under bacterium HLAL9EKANTET. Its description in RNAcentral is "bacterial SSU rRNA". It matches the Rfam family "Bacterial small subunit ribosomal RNA", at positions 116 to 614 of the family's 1533-position model. The record is from RNAcentral.
CGUGGGUGAUCUGCCCUCAACUUUGGGAUAAGCCUGGGAAACUGGGUCUAAUACCGGAUAGGAACAAUCUUUAGUGUGGUUGUUGGAAAGCUUUUGCGGUUGGGGAUGAGCUCGCGGCCUAUCAGCUUGUUGGUGGGGUAAUGGCCUACCAAGGCGUCGACGGGUAGCCGGCCUGAGAGGGUGUACGGCCACAUUGGGACUGAGAUACGGCCCAGACUCCUACGGGAGGCAGCAGUGGGGAAUAUUGCACAAUGGGCGGAAGCCUGAUGCAGCGACGCCGCGUGGGGGAUGAAGGCCUUCGGGUUGUAAACUCCUUUCGACAGGGACGAAGCUUUUGUGACGGUACCUGUAUAAGAAGCACCGGCUAACUACGUGCCAGCAGCCGCGGUAAUACGUAGGGUGCGAGCGUUGUCCGGAAUUACUGGGCGUAAAGAGCUCGUAGGUGGUUUGUCGCGUCGUCUGUGAAAUUCCGGGGCUUAACU